AGUGAACGCUGGCGGUAGGCCUAACACAUGCAAGUCGAACGGCAGCACAGUAAGAGCUUGCUCUUACGGGUGGCGAGUGGCGGACGGGUGAGGAAUACAUCGGAAUCUACUUUUUCGUGGGGGAUAACGUAGGGAAACUUACGCUAAUACCGCAUACGACCUACGGGUGAAAGCAGGGGAUCUUCGGACCUUGCGCGAUUGAAUGAGCCGAUGUCGGAUUAGCUAGUUGGCGGGGCAAAGGCCCACCAAGGCGACGAUCCGUAGCUGGUCUGAGAGGAUGAUCAGCCACACUGGAACUGAGACACGGUCCAGACUCCUACGGGAGGCAGCAGUGGGGAAUAUUGGACAAUGGGCGCAAGCCUGAUCCAGCCAGACCGCGUGGGUGAAGAAGGCCUUCGGGUUGUAAAGCCCUUUUGUUGGGAAAGAAAAGCAGCAGGUUAAUACCCCGCUGUUCUGACGGUACCCAAAGAAUAAGCACCGGCUAACUUCGUG
This 492-nucleotide ribosomal RNA is filed under the name uncultured bacterium. RNAcentral describes it as "partial 16S ribosomal RNA". It matches the Rfam family "Bacterial small subunit ribosomal RNA", at positions 29 to 507 of the family's 1533-position model. The record is from RNAcentral.